RNAcentral lists this ribosomal RNA (465 nucleotides) under uncultured bacterium. Its description in RNAcentral is "partial 16S ribosomal RNA". It matches the Rfam family "Bacterial small subunit ribosomal RNA", at positions 338 to 795 of the family's 1533-position model. The record is from RNAcentral.
CCUACGGGAGGCUGCAGUGGGGAAUAUUGGGCAAUGGGCGAACGCCUGAAGCAGCGACGCCGCGUGAGGGAUGAAGGUCUUCGGAGCGUAAACCUCUGUCAGCAGGGAAGAACGGUCACUGUGCUAAUCAGCAGUGAAUUGACGGUACCUGCAAAGGAAGCACCGGCUAACUCCGUGCAAGCAGCGGCGGUAAUACGGAGGGUGCGAGCGUUAAUCGGAAUUACUGGGCGUAAAGCGCUCGUAGGCGGGAUGUCAAGUCAAGGGUGAAAUCCCCGCGCUCAACGUGGGAACUGCCUUUGAAACUGGCAAACUGGAGUGUGUGAGAGGAUAGUGGAAUUCGAGGUGUAGGAGUGAAAUCCGUAGAUAUCUGGAGGAACACCAGUGGCGAAGGCGACUAUCUGGCACAUAACUGACGCUGAGGAGCGAAAGCGUGGGUAGCAAACAGGAUUAGAUACCCCUGUAGUC